UCACCAGACUCCUACGGGAGGCAGCAGUGGGGGAUAUUGCACAAUGGGGGGAACCCUGAUGCAGCGACGCCGCGUGGGUGAAGGAGCACCUCGGUGCGUAAAGCCCUAUCGGCAGGGAAGAAGCAGACGGUACCUGACUAAGAAGCCCCGGCUAACUACGUGCCAGCAGCCGCGGUAAUACGUAGGGGGCAAGCGUUAUCCGGAUUUACUGGGUGUAAAGGGGGCGCAGACGGCAGCGCAAGCCAGGAGUGAAAGCCCGGGGCCCAACCCCGGGACUGCUCUUGGAACUGCGCGGCUGGAGUGCAGGAGGGGCAGGCGGAAUUCCUGGUGUAGCGGUGAAAUGCGUAGAUAUUAGGAGGAACACCAGUGGCGAAGGCGGCUUGCUGGACAGAGACUGACGUUGAGGCUCGAAAGCGUGGGGAGCAAACAGGAUUAGAUACCCGCGUAUC
Molecule: ribosomal RNA, 449 nt
Filed under: uncultured bacterium
Lineage: Bacteria
Description: partial 16S ribosomal RNA
Rfam family: Bacterial small subunit ribosomal RNA
Source: RNAcentral